This is a long non-coding RNA of Tetranychus urticae (two-spotted spider mite), 1462 nucleotides long. RefSeq lists it as uncharacterized. The record is from RefSeq and is a predicted model, not a curated record. NCBI's taxonomy places the organism in Eukaryota, Metazoa, Arthropoda, Arachnida, Trombidiformes, Tetranychidae.
CGUUCACACGGUCAAUAUUGGAAUUUGAAAAUUUUAACAAUUUAAAAUGCAAUUAAAUUUUGUUUAUCAACAAAAAUUAGUCCAACUUGUAACUUAAAAACAGUUAUUCAGCUGAUUUGUGAUGGAUUAGUGUGUUUAAUAGCUCGUUUACCCUUUACUUAAAUUAUAAUAGCCAAUCACUAGCAAAUUGACUUUUUUCAAGCAUUUUUCAUUUUUCUCAACAGCUUUCAACAUUUCAACCAGGGUAAUUAAAAUCCAAUUUAAAUAGGAUUUCAGUGACUUUUGUGUUCGUUUUUCUGAAAAUUCCAAAAUUAUUUAGGAUUCAACUCACUUGUAUUAUAUAUUAACAUCCUUGAGGAUUCUAUUAUAAUUACAUCUACAAGAGUCUCUUUCGUGUCUACAACUACUGUGUUUAUCAUUUGUUUCUUAUGUUCUUUGUGUUAUUAAUUUUUUUAUCAAAUUCCUCUAUGAAAGAUUAUUAUUAUUAAGCGUCUUAUCUUCAAGGCCCUGUUAUUAAGUCUAAAAAUGACUGGUUCAAGUUUCGUCGAAACAAAUUUUGUUACUCUUUCCAUUGUAAAGAUAAUAAUUACCAUGCUCGUCAUAACCAAAUCAAAUUUUGAAGGAAUACAAUUCAAUGGUUUUGCUGCUGUUAACUGAAAUAUCUAUUUUUUUACUCUCAAAGGAAACAAUUAUGGCGAUAGUAGGAAUCGUGAAUGUGUCUAUUAGACGUAAAUGAUUGGAUUGAAAUGAAUCAGAGAAGUGAAAUUUCUCAACCUGUAUUUGAUUACUGAUUUUACAUGCCGUAGGCAAUUGAUUGAACUGACUUCAACACCUUGUUAUCAAUGAGGAAAAAAACUGGACAAGUUGAUCAUUUCCCAAGCUCAAACAUGAUACUCAUUGAUUUACAAACCAACCAAGUUUAAUGUUUCUUUUAUGUUUACUUAAAUUCACGACAAUUUGUAUCAAGUUGUCAUGAUUUGUCAUUUAUAUGUUGAAAUUGCAUGCUUCAGAUUUUUGCAAGUUUGGCAUUAAUGGCCCACUCAAGGCAACCAUGCUAUUUGAUUAAUUGAAACUUGAAAAAAAGUCUUCAUCAUUCAAGAUUUUUGUUGAAUAAUUUGCUAAACAAAUCACUACAAUGUAUUGGAUUCUUAGCAACUUGUCAUUCAAUCAGGAAGAGAAUGAUGAAAAUGAUAAAGACUAAUCUUUCUGGUAUUAGUGAAAGCUCAACUGACAAUCAAUUUCAUAUUUUUUCAAUCAUGAUGACAAUUAAACUGUUGAACCAAUAAUUUACUAGCCAUGAAAGGCAAUAACAAGUAAACUUUGAAAAGUUUAUUUCCAUGAAUUGAACAAUUUUUUGCCUCUAAACAUCUUGAUAGAUUGAAUCAUUUUUGACAAAAUGUCUGUAAAUUUAGGUCAGUUAGAGUCUUAAUUAUUGUAAUAAUUGACUUGUAGUCUCAUUAUU